UACGUAGGUGGCAAGCGUUGUCCGGAUUUACUGGGUGUAAAGGGCGUGUAGGCGGGUUAUUAAGUCUGAUGUGAAAUACCGAGGCUCAACCUCGGGGCUGCAUUGGAAACUGAUAAUCUUGAGUGCAGGAGAGGAAAGUGGAAUUCCUAGUGUAGCGGUGAAAUGCGUAGAUAUUAGGAGGAACACCAGUGGCGAAGGCGACUUUCUGGACUGUAACUGACGCUGAGGCGCGAAAGCGUGGGGAGCAAACAGG
RNAcentral lists this ribosomal RNA (253 nucleotides) under uncultured bacterium. RNAcentral's name for it is "partial 16S ribosomal RNA". It matches the Rfam family "Bacterial small subunit ribosomal RNA", at positions 524 to 776 of the family's 1533-position model. The record is from RNAcentral.